CCGGAACCCGAGGCCCGGCCUGGGGCGCGGCUGCUGGGCGCUAGGCCCGCGACGCUGAGGUGCGCGCGCCCCGGGCGGGAGGAGGGGCUGCACCGCCUGGCGAAUGGGAGGGGGACUGGCAGGCUCUCCCUUCCCAAGGGAGGUCGUCCUGUCGCCCUAGACUAAACCCAGGAAGGCUUUUAAAAGAAGCAGAGUCUCCGCGGGGGGAAGCUUGUUCCCUGAGAGGUGGCCGCAGACGAACCCACUGCUCAGUCUGGCAUCCCGAAGCCGCUCCGCUCCUGGCUCUCCCCGCUGUUCCUGCGCGCAGCGGGGGCAGUGCCCCCACACCCACGCGUGAUGGGAAGGCCGGCCUGGGGGUGGGAAGGCCCACCGAAAUAGAUGGUCCCCACACCUCACUGCUUCCUUGGAUGUGGCUAUUUUUUAUGCCAGUGUUCUCCUGCUCUGACCCUACUUGAACUUGACCGCAACCGGCCCCGCCUUGCAGGCCACCCUCCCGCAGCAGAAAACUGUGCGGAGCUCGCGCUGUCCUCGCCUCCGCUGACCCCACCUCCAUGUCCUCACAGACACUAUUUUUUCACAACACAGCUCAGAUCCCACCUUCUUCAUGAGGUUAUUCAACAAACACUAUUAAACUUGUAAGAUGUACCAGAUCCUGAGUUGGAGGCUGAGAGGAGGACAAGAAAACUGCUCCCGUAGCCUAGAGGGAGGGAGAGUCGCUUAAACCACCUGAUGCAGAAUGCUGAGUGCGGAGACCAGGAGGGUCCAUCUGAACCUCAGGGUCCUCUAGGAUACCCAGGACCUCGAGGGUUAAGGGAACAUCGGGUGGUGAUGGCCUCCAUGAUCCCCCAGAGAAAGGGUGUGACUUGAGUGCCUUCUUCCUCUGUGCUCCCCAGGGAGCAGCAGCAUCAGAGUGCUCCCAGGGUGCCAAAGGGACACACUGGACCAACUGGAGACCCUGGGCCCCCUGGAUUCACAGCUGACAAUGGAUUGAGGUGGGUAUAGAAGAAGUCAAGGAAAAGCCCCUGUCAUGAAGAGUUGGAUGGAGACAGGCACAGAGUGGCCGCAGGUCCAAGCAGAGUGAACAUGCGUCCAAACUGGCAGUGGCAGCCCCUAGAAGGGAGACACCAACAGCACCGAGAUCUGUGGUCUCCAGAGCUGACAUCUCCUGCACUUGCCACGUGCAGGCGCUGUGCGGGACCUCCUCUCCAUCCUGUGAGGGUCUCCCUGAACUCAGGGUCCCAAUGGAUUUCCUGGCCCCAAAGAGCCCCUGGGCACCCUGGGAAUGACAAGCUGCCGGGACACUCAGGCCAGAGAGGAAAGGUGGAGAGAACGGCUCCCAGACCCUGGAGUUAAGUCUGUCUGGCUCUCUUCUCUCAGUCACACACCCCUGCCUCUGGCUCGCAUGUCUGGAACAGGGUGUCCAUGGGGUUCAAGGGAAGGAUGUUCCUGGUCUGAGGGGCUUCCCAGGAGAGAGAGGCCUCCUAGGCACUGCUGGUUCCCCCCUAGGGAGUGAGGUGCAGCAGGAUCAAGGGACCCAUUGCCCCCCGCCAGGGUGCCCAGGCCCUCAGGAACCCCCUGGAUCAGCAGGAGAGACAGGGUGAAAAGGGCCCCAUUUGUCUGCCUGGCUGUGAUAGGGUGCAGAGUCCUGUGUGACUUCCUGGUCCUGCUGGGCCUCCAGGUGUGGCUGGAGAAGAUGGAGACCAAGAGGAGAACCCCAGAGAACCCGACCAAUCUUCUCUCCACAUGAGAGGGCUGAGGGCCCUCCUGGACCCCCUGGACUCACUGGUCCAUGGAACAGCCUGUAGCAGUGGGAGCAGAUUGGGAGCCCAGAGCUCAGGGACCCCAGGGACACUUUGGAGCCAGAGUGUGGGGAGCCAAAGGCAAUAAAGGUAGAACAGGAUUCAUGAAUCUAUAGGGACUACCUGGACCCAGUGGCACUGGUGUGAGUCAUCCCAGCCCCUGCCACUUCAGAGCAAUGAGUCUGAUCCUCUGCGUCCCUUUCCUCAGAUCAUAAACUCUUCGCCCCUGAGAAGCCCCUUCCCCUGGGAGGCCCCCACUGUCCCACUGCCAUAACCUUGGGAUGCUCAUCUGGGCCUCUGCCCCUGCAAUAACCCCACCUCCUGAAGCGAUGUCACCUAUUUCUCUUCCUCUUUCAGGGUCCACAAGAUCCCCUGGGAGGUGUUGGGGCCCUGGGUCCCCCUGGAGAGAAGGAGAGUCAGGAUCUCCAGGAAUCCAGGGUGAGCCGGGUGUCAGGGUCUUGGUUUUCCUGGAGACCCUGGCCCCCCAGGAGAAGGUGGCUCAUGACCAGGACAGUGUUAACGGUGACUAUGGCAAGGAUGGUGAGCCAGUACAGCCCGUGAGUGACCAAUGUCCCUGCCACCCCCACUGAGCUCCAGCCUUCAGCCCCUUACCCCUCUUUUCUGUGCCCUACUCCUGAGGGGUCCCUUAGCUGGAGGCCAACACUCACCCACCCCAAUUCCUCUCAUUCUGUGGAUCCUCUGGUCCCACUGGGGAGAAUGGACUACCUGGACCACAUGGAAAGCAGGUAAGUGAGGUAGAAGACCCUGGGACCUUGGGAGGUAGUCGCUGGGAAAUGUGGGUAGAGGCUGGGUGGUGACAGGUGGCACUGACAGGGAGAUGCCUGGUGUCUGUGCUGUCCCUGGAUGUGGUGUGUUGCAUGAGCACAUGGGUUUAUGAGUGUGUUGUGUCUCGGGCAUGUUGCUCCUGGGUUUUUGUGAGCAUGUUCUCACCAGGGCUGGUUACAUGUACUGGCCAAUCAGAAUGGACACUGGAGGAGGGGCUGGCCGGCUUCUCUGCUGGGUCAGGGAUUAACCUGGGCCACUGGGUGGGGCGUGGUUAAGGGGUUCUUCCCCAAGCAUCCAUGCUCCUCAGCAUUUUCACAACGGACACAGCUCCAUCUGUUCUGAACUCACACUCUGCUUCUGUGCCUGUGUGUGCAGUGUGUGCAUGCAGUGUGUGCAUGCAGGGUGUGCAUGUGUGUGUGUGUGGAGUAUGUGUGCAUGUGUAGCACAGGAAGGGGAAGAGUGGAGCCUGGCUGUUCAGGACCUCAAGUUUUCUCCCUUCCUGUCCCAUCUGCAGGGUCAGCUAAGAAUAGCCAUGACUCAAGGGUCAGCUAAGAAUAGUCAUGACUCAAGGGUCAUUUAGGACACAGGAAGAUACCAGAUGAGGAAACUCUCCCCAAGUCCUAAACUCAUUCACAAAUUAGAACACAUAGGUCCAGCCCAGGCACAGUGGCUGAAGCCUGGAAUCCUCCCGCUUCCUGCUUCGGGAGACCAAGGCAAGAGGAUCUCUCGAAGUGUGAGUUGGAGGCCAGCUUGGGCGACACAAUCAGGAAAAGCAAGUGGCCACCAGGUGGCGCCCAAGAACUGGGCCCGAGUUCCCUGGGAGGAAUCUGCACGCAGCCCUGGGAUGGCACAGGGAUGCCUCACGGGACACCUGGCCUCGUCCUGGUAGCCCCUUGCUUGCAUUUCCCGGCCCUGGGGUGUCCUCCCCGACUGCACAUGCAUGUAGAGACCAUUCCUCCUUCUCCAAAGAGGGAUUUGGAACAAUUCUCACAUGACCUGACGAGGGACAGUGGCUGUGCUCAGGGUCCCUCUUUUGUCCUCAGAGCAUGACCAGGCCUGUGGCUCUUGCUCAUUGCCCAAGAGCAUGGGAGGUUGCCCGUGGCAAGGCCCUGGAGGACCCUGCUGUGCUGCCUGGGACCAGGAGGCCCGGCUGCCUUCUCCCAGCACCUCUCCCAGUUAGGGUACUGUGCAGGAAAUGGGUGCAGAGGCCAUAGUGGUGGCUGCUCCUGGGGUCCCAGCAGCUCUAGCUGAGGCAGGAGGAACCAGGGAGCCCAGGAGGCUGAGGCCCCUGUCCUACUGCUCUGGUCGUGCUGCAGUCUCUGUCACCACCAACAACUGCAGUGAGGUGAGCCACUGGGCUGCAGGCUCUAGCCUCCAGCCUGUGACAGAUGCCUCCUCUUUCUGACUCCUCCUGUAGCAGGGCACGGAGAAGCUCUCGCUCAUCGCUGCCUCCUACCACUCCGAACAUGCUGCAGUCUCGUUGACCACGCUGCAGUCUUGGUGGCCACCACCAACUGCAGGGAGCCUGGCCAGGUGCCGCAAGUUGCAGCCUCCACCUCCUCCUCUAAGUCGGGCUUGGAGCAGCAGCGGGAGCAGUCACAGAAGAGGCUGGAAUGGUGGAAUGCACCCUCAGUAUGCAUUAUAUAUAGAGGUUUCGGCAAUGAGGGCCUGGACUUUGUGUUCUGAUUGGAUGGGGGAAACCUCUAGGCUUUAUCUUCAUGCCCUGAUUGGUUAUCCUAAGAGUUGCUCUCAUCCAGUCUUCUUUAUAAGUGGUCAUCUUUGUAAGUUCAUGCCCACUGGGAGUUACUGAAGUUGUGAAUGAUUACAUUUAAACUUAUCCUGUAAUUUUAGUCUGAUUUAUUAAUUCCACCUAUCUCCUUAAGCAAAUUAUUCUCUAUAGUGAUGACCCAAGCAAAUUCCUGUCCCAAGAUGGUAUCAAGAUGAUACCCAAGUUCCUCUCCAGAAUGGUAUCUGGAUAUAUGUGGAGGGAAAUAUUUUUUCUAGGCCUGUAUUAAAUAUGGCACUAAAGCUUAGUGGCUUAAAACAAUACACUGUUAUUAUCUCACAGCUUCUGUGAAUAAGUAGUUCAGGAGAGUGUAGCUGGGUGAUUCUUGCCAAGAGUCUCAUAAGGUUGCAGUCAAUCUGUUGGUGAGAAUUGUAGUUACUUGAAGACUUGGAGUUGAAGAAUUUAUAUCAAAGAUGGCUUACUUAUGGCAAUUGGAUGGAAGCCCCAGUUUCAGAAUGGCUGCUGGCAACAGGUCUUUUUACUUGCCACAUGGACCUCUCCAUAGGCUGACUGAAUGUCCUCCCAAUGUGUCAUCUGGCUUUCUCCAGUGCAAAAGAUCAAAGAAGAGAGUAUGAAGGAACCCGUAAUGCUCUUUAUAAUUUUGUCACAGACCGUCACUUCUGCCAUACUCUAUUGUUUAGAAGUUAGUCAUUAAGUCCAGCCCACACUCAAAAGAACGAGAAUUAACCUCCACCUUUGGAAGAGAGGCUAGUCAAAGCACUUGUGGACAUGUUUUGAAACCACAAAGGGGUAUGGCUGCCAGUCUCCAAGAUGGCCGCCAGUGAUUCUCAUCAGCUGUUAUUAAUACAUUUGUAUAGUCCCUUCCCACAAGAAAAAAGAGUUGAUCUGUUUAAUUAGUAUUAUUUUGUUGAAAUGACAGAGUCUGACUUGCAAGUUUAGGUCAUAAGAAGAAUUUUGACUUCUGCCUUAUUCUCUAUUGGAUCAAUAUCCCUAGGGGAAGCUAGAUGCAAUGUCAUGAAAUCAUUCAAACAGUCCCAUGGAACAAUCCAUCUAGCAAGGAACUGAUAUCUCCUAGCAAUAGCUGGCAUUAACUUACAAGUCGUAUGAGUGGGCCAUCUUAGAAUUGGAUUCUUCAGUCCAAAUCAAGUCUUCAGAUAACUGUAGCCCUGGCUGACAUCUUGAUUACAUCCUCAAGAGAGACCCUGAGCCAGAAUCACUCAGUUAAGCCACUGAGUUCUUUUUGCCAAAAACUUUUUUUUUACCAAGUUCUUUUUGCCACCAACUUUAUUGAGGUAUAAUUGACAAUUAAGAUUGUAUAUAUUUAAGGAAUACAACUUGAUGAUUUGAUAUACACAUACAUUGUGAAAUAAUCGUGAUAAUUAGGUUAACAUAUUCAUUACUUCACAUAAGUACCAUUUUCGUGUGUGUGUGUGUGUGUGUGUGUGUGUGUGUGUGUGUGUGUGGUGAGAACACAUGAGAUGUAUCCUCUUAGAAAAUUUCAAGUAUACAAUAUAUUAUUGUUAACUACAGUCAUAUUAUUGUAUACUAUGUCUCCAGAACUUAUUCACCUUGCGUAACUGAGAUGCUGUACCCUUGACCAAUGUCUCCCCCUUUUCUUCUCCCUCCAGCCCCUGGUAACUACCCUUCUACUUUCCAGUUCUAUACAUUUGACUCUUUUAGAUUCCACACAUAAGUCAAAUUUUUGACCCUUAGGAGCUGGGUGAAUAAUAAAUAUUUAUUGUUAUUUUCAGCCUUAUGAUUUUAAGUUAAUUUGUUAUGCAGUAAUAGAAGUUGCCACAUGAAGCUAUGACACUGGUUAACUCAUUUAUUCAGUAAACAUUUGCUAAGAGCAGACUAAGUGCCAGGAUCAAUUUUAUAAUUGGGGGUACAGGGUUAAGUCAAAAUGGCAGACUAGAAGCAGAUCAUGUGCACUGCUGUCAUGGAGAGGAAACAAAAUGGCUAGUGAACACUGAUCUUGCCAUGUGAUCCCCUAAGAAACCACAUCAGCAUCCAUGAAGGCAGCAAGGGGACACAGAGAGGAGAGAGGAGUGAAGCUGAGCAGCCCAUCUGUGAUCAGCAUGGAGCUAGAAGAAGCUCCCAAACAUAGGGAAAGAGUAAGUGAUUGAGAGCCCCUGGGGGAUUCACAGUCUUCACAGGGACCUGUGCAAGCCUUGGAACAGGAGAAUCUCUUUGACCCACUCCCUGCACCUCUAAGCCAAUGCAGAGAGCCACCCAGAGUUUUGUGGAGGCAACUCUCAAGUCCCUAGGGACUGCUGGAAGCCUUGGACCCUGGAACAGACCAGCACCAGUGCCAUAGCCCCAACAGAGGCUGCAGUCAUGGUACCCGAGGGCAGUAAGAUUGCUCCACCCCAAAUCACUAGACAAAGUUCAGCACCAGCCUCUGGCCCAAUGGUCCUGCUUCUGUUUUCACUUCACCAACAGGUUCAGCCUCCUGUUCCUCCAGGAAACACCCAAACAACAGGAUAGGCAACUUCACCCAAUCCCUGCCAGUUGUAGCCAGGCAGGCCAUACCUGCUAGAGCUUCCAGCCCCGUGGUACCACUUCUGUCUGAAUUCUGCUGACAAGCACAGUCUCUUGUUCUCCUAGGAAACACCUUAAUGGCAUGGUGAGUGACUCCACCCACUGCCACUGCUCAAGGCCAGCAGCCCACACCUGCUAGAGUUUCCAGCCCAACAGUCCUGCUUUUAUAUGAACUCUGCAGGUGGGGGCAACUCCAUGUUCCCCUGGGAAGCAGCUGGACAGCAGAUUAGGUGACCCCACUCAUCCCUGCAACUCCUAGCCAAGCAGUUCUUGCUGGCUUGGGUGGUGCCCAAGCAGUGGGGGAGUCCUCACUCUUGCAUCACUAAAAGAAGUGAGAUGCCCAAGUUCACAGGUCAGUGGAGGAGUGGGUUGUGCCUCCCUCUGUACAGCCAUUCCGGAAAGGAUAUGACCUGUUUGCCAACUGUGGCCCCUGCAUGAGGAAGCCCCAUGGACGAGAACACCUAAUAAAAGAAAUACAGGCAUGGAGUCAGUGAUCAGAGGGGGCUCUUCCAAGGCUUAGGGGUGGACAAGGUGAGGGGGUCAUCUCUACCCCACCCCCUAAAAAGCACUAUGCUAACUUGAGGAAAACACAAAAGAGCUGUGCAGCUGAGAAAAGCCUAUCUGCCUGUCCGCUGGCUAACACUUUUAAGUGCCACCUACUGGAUCACAGCAGAAAAUACAAUACAAAAAUAUUUUGCCAGUACACAGCACCUGUGAAAACUAAGGCAAAGAUUAAGCAACAAAUAAACAUUCUGUACAUACUCGUGACCCUCUGAAAACACCCUAAAAAGAAGCCAACUGACUGUACUCAACUUACAUCACAGUUAAAGGAACACUAACCCUUACACAUGAAAAAGAAUCGAUGCAAAAACUCUGGCAACUCAAAAAGCCAGUGUGCCCCCUUACCUACAAACAAACACACUAGUCCCCCAGAAAUGGUUCUUAGCCAGAUUGAGAUGACUGAAAUGAUGGAAAUAAAAUUCAAGAUCUGGAUGGCAAGGAAGAUCGAUGGGAUCAAAGAGAAAGUUGAAUCCAAGGAACCCAGUAAAACAAUCCAGGAGCUGAAGGAUUAAACAGCCAUUUUAAGAAAGAACCAGCUGGGUGUGAUGGCUCACGCCUGUAAUCCCAGCACUUUGGGAGGCCAAGGCGAGUGGACUACUUGAGGUUAGGAGUUUGAGACCAGCCUGGCCAACAUGAUGAAACCCUGUCUCUACUAAAAUACAAAAAUUAGCUGGGCGUGGUGGCACACAUCUGUAAUCUCAGCUACUUGGGAGGCUGAGGCAGGAGAAUCACUUGAACCCGGGAGGUGGAGGUUGCACAGGCUGGAGUGCAGUGGCACGAUCUCGGCUCACUGCAAGCUCUGCCUCCCAGGUUCCCACCAUUCUCCUGCCUCAGCCUCCCGAGUAGCUGGGACUACAGGUGCCCGCCACCACGCCCAGCAAAUUUUUUGUAUUUUUAGUAGAGACGGAGUUUCACCAUGUAAGCUAUGAUAGUCUCCAUCUCCCGACCUCGUGAUCCGCCUGCCUUGGCCUCCGAAAGUGCUGGGAUUACAGGUGUGAUGGCUCACGCCCAGCAUUUUUUUUUUUUUUUUUUGAGACAAAGUCUCGCUCUGUUGCCCAGGCUGGAGUGUAAUGGCACAAUCUCGGCUCACUGCAACCUCCCCCUCCCAGGUUCAAGCAAUUAUCCUGCCUCAGCCUCCUGAGUGGCUGGGAUUAUAGGCACCCACCACCAUGCCCAGCUAAUUGUUGUAAUUUUAGUAGAGAUGAGGUCUCACCAUCUUGGUUCGGCUGGUCUCAAACUCCUGACCUCAGGUGAUCCACCCACUUCAGCUUCCCAAAGUACUGGGAUUACAGGAGUGAGCCACCAUGCCCAGCCCCACAAAAAUUUUUAAAAAAGAAUUAAAAAGUGAAUAAAAUCUUUUGAGAAAUAUAGGACUAUGUAAAAAGACCAAACCUACAUUUCAUUGGCAUUCCCAAAAGAGAAGUAACUUGGAGAAUAUAUUUGAAGACAUAGUCCAUGAAAAAUUUCCCAAACUUGAUAGAGAGGGGAACAUACAAAUUCAAAAAAUACAGACAACCCUACAGAUACUACACAAGAUGACCAUCCCCAAGGCACAUAGUCAUCAGAUUCACCAAAGUCAAAGUAAAAGAAAGACAUCUUAAAGGCAGCUAGAGAGAAAGGUCAGGUCAUCUGUAAAGGGAACCCCAUCAGGCUAGCAGUAGACGUUGCAACAGAAACUUUACAAGACAGAGGAGAAUCAAGGUUUAUUUUCAGCAUUCUUAAAGAAAAUAAUUUCCAAGCAAGAAUAUUGUGUCCCACCAAACUAAGCUUCAUAAGUGAAGGAGAAAUAAAAUACUUUUCAGAUAAGCAAGUACUUAAAGGAGUGCUAAACAUGAAAACAAAGAACUGAAACAUGCUCCUUCAAAAACACACUCAAGGACAUAGCCUACAGAGAAUGUAAAGCCACCACACCACUAAGUCUACAAAAUAAACAGCCAACAACAUAAUGACAAGAUCAAAAUCUCAUAUAUCAAUACUAACCCAGAAUGUAAAUGGUCUAAAUGCCCGACUUAAAAGGGAUAGCAUGUCAAGUUGGACAAAAAGACAAGCCCCGAUAGUCUGCUGUCUUCAAGACACCCAUCUCUCGUGUGAAGAUACUCACACGUUCAAAGUAAAAGUAUAGAGUAGAUCUACCAAGCAAACAGAAAACAAAAAAGAGCAGGAGUCAUUAUUUUUAUAGCAGAUAAAACAGAUUUUAAACCAACAACAAUCAGGAAGGAUAAAGAAGAGCAGUACAUGAUGAUAAAAGGUUUAAUUCAACAAGAAGACCUGACCAUUCUAAACAUACACGUACCCAAUAUAGGAGCACCCAGAUUCAUAAAACAAAUUUUUCUUGACUAACAAAAAGACUUAGACAGUCACACAAUAAUAGUGGGGGACCUUAACACCCCACUGGCAGUGUUAGAUCAUCAAGGCUGAAAACUAACAAAGAAAAUCUGGGCUUAAACUCGACAUGUGACCAAUUGAACCUAAUAGAUAUCUACAGAG
Molecule: long non-coding RNA, 9921 nt
Filed under: Homo sapiens (human)
Lineage: Eukaryota; Metazoa; Chordata; Mammalia; Primates; Hominidae
Description: HSALNT0123119
Source: RNAcentral